This 292-nucleotide ribosomal RNA is filed under the name uncultured prokaryote. Its description in RNAcentral is "partial 16S ribosomal RNA". It matches the Rfam family "Bacterial small subunit ribosomal RNA", at positions 505 to 796 of the family's 1533-position model. The record is from RNAcentral.
GUGCCAGCCGCCGCGGUAAUACGUAGGUGGCAAGCGUUGUCCGGAUUUAUUGGGCGUAAAGCGAGCGCAGGCGGUUUCUUAAGUCUGAUGUGAAAGCCCCCGGCUUAACCGGGGAGGGUCAUUGGAAACUGAGGAACUUGAGUGCAGAAGAGGAGAGUGGAGUUCCAUGUGUAGCGGUGAAAUGCGUAGAUAUAUGGAGGAACACCAGUGGCGAAGGCGACUCUCUGGUCUGUAACUGACGCUGAGGCUCGAAAGCGUGGGGAGCAAACAGGAUUAGAAACCCCCGUAGUCC